RNAcentral lists this ribosomal RNA (303 nucleotides) under uncultured bacterium. RNAcentral's name for it is "partial 16S ribosomal RNA". It matches the Rfam family "Bacterial small subunit ribosomal RNA", at positions 507 to 807 of the family's 1533-position model. The record is from RNAcentral.
AGCAGUCGCCGCGGUAAUACGAAGGGUGCAAGCGUUAAUCGGAAUUACUGGGCGUAAAGCGCACGCAGGCGGUCUGUUAAGUCAGAUGUGAAAUCCCCGAGCUUAACUUGGGAACUGCAUUUGAAACUGGCAAGCUAGAGUCUUGUAGAGGGGGGUAGAAUUCCAGGUGUAGCGGUGAAAUGCGUAGAGAUCUGGAGGAAUACCGGUGGCGAAGGCGGCCCCCUGGACAAAGACUGACGCUCAGGUGCGAAAGCGUGGGGAGCAAACAGGAUUAGAUACCCCGGUAGUCCCUGUCUCUUAUAC